Molecule: long non-coding RNA, 366 nt
Organism: Carassius carassius (crucian carp)
Lineage: Eukaryota; Metazoa; Chordata; Actinopteri; Cypriniformes; Cyprinidae
Exons: 3
Source: RefSeq, a predicted model, not a curated record
UUUUCAGCCAUUUCCAGUUCAGUCAGAUGGACAGAGCUGUGGGAUAUUCAUGCUUAUGUAUGCCCUCUGCAUCUGUAAUGGUGCCAUGUUUAACUUUUUGGAUGUAAGUUGUAAUUCAUGGAAUGUAUGUAUCCAAGAAUGUUAAGAAACAAACAAUGCAAGACUCCAAUAAUACAUGUGUAUUACAGACUGACAUCCCAUCUAUUCGUAAGUGGUGGUGUAUCCAGAUUCUGGAGAAAUUCUCGAUUGCAAGGCAUGGGCAGAACUUUGGGCAGCGCUUUGCUUUCUGGACAGAGGAGGCAGAACAGCUGAUGGCAGGCACCCUACCACCUAUUUAUAGGAUUUAUCGACCCCAAAUAGUCAAGG